Molecule: long non-coding RNA, 227 nt
Organism: Talpa occidentalis (Iberian mole)
Lineage: Eukaryota; Metazoa; Chordata; Mammalia; Eulipotyphla; Talpidae
Exons: 3
Source: RefSeq, a predicted model, not a curated record
GCUACGUUAACAAGACCACUCAGUCACUGGGACCAGUAAUGUUAAGAUCAUCUGCUUUUGUUUGACAUGGGUGAAGAUGGAAGGGAAGAACAGAACGAACCAUGAUGUUCAAUUGCUAUGUCUUGGUCCUCAUAACAAUUGAAUUAAGAACAUCAAGGACACAUGUUGGAUUAAACUAGCAGUUGUGCCAUUUGGUCAAAUAAACGGUCGAAAGUUAGAAAGUUAUG